RNAcentral lists this ribosomal RNA (668 nucleotides) under uncultured bacterium. Its description in RNAcentral is "bacterial SSU rRNA". It matches the Rfam family "Bacterial small subunit ribosomal RNA", at positions 74 to 755 of the family's 1533-position model. The record is from RNAcentral.
CCUGCUUUUGUGGGGUGCUCGAGUGGCGAACGGGUGAGUAACACGUGAGUAACCUGCCCUUGACUUUGGGAUAACUUCAGGAAACUGGGGCUAAUACCGGAUAGGAGCUCCUGCUGCAUGGUGGGGGUUGGAAAGUUUCGGCGGUUGGGGAUGGACUCGCGGCUUAUCAGCUUGUUGGUGGGGUAGUGGCUUACCAAGGCUUUGACGGGUAGCCGGCCUGAGAGGGUGACCGGCCACAUUGGGACUGAGAUACGGCCCAGACUCCUACGGGAGGCAGCAGUGGGGAAUAUUGCACAAUGGGCGGAAGCCUGAUGCAGCAACGCCGCGUGCGGGAUGACGGCCUUCGGGUUGUAAACCGCUUUCGCCUGUGACGAAGCGUGAGUGACGGUAAUGGGUAAAGAAGCACCGGCUAACUACGUGCCAGCAGCCGCGGUGAUACGUAGGGUGCGAGCGUUGUCCGGAUUUAUUGGGCGUAAAGGGCUCGUAGGUGGUUGAUCGCGUCGGAAGUGUAAUCUUGGGGCUUAACCCUGAGCGUGCUUUCGAUACGGGUUGACUUGAGGAAGGUAGGGGAGAAUGGAAUUCCUGGUGGAGCGGUGGAAUGCGCAGAUAUCAGGAGGAACACCAGUGGCGAAGGCGGUUCUCUGGGCCUUUCCUGACGCUGAGGAGCG